CAGGCCUAACACAUGCAAGUCGAACGGAAAGGCCCGCUUGCGGGUACUCGAGUGGCGAACGGGUGAGUAACACGUGGGCAACCUGCCCUCAGCUCUGGGAUAACCCCCGGAAACGGGAGCUAAUACCGGAUAUCGAUCUCUUACUGCAUGGCAGGAGAUCUAAAGUUUUUCGGCUGAGGAUGGGCCCGCGGCCUAUCAGCUUGUUGGUGGGGUAAUGGCCUACCAAGGCGACGACGGGUAGCCGGCCUGAGAGGGCGACCGGCCACACUGGAACUGAGACACGGUCCAGACUCCUACGGGAGGCAGCAGUGGGGAAUAUUGCGCAAUGGGCGAAAGCCUGACGCAGCGACGCCGCGUGAGGGAUGACGGCCUUCGGGUUGUAAACCUCUUUCGACAGGGACGAAUAUGACGGUACCUGUAGAAGAAGCACCGGCUAACUACGUGCCAGCAGCCGCGGUAAU
Molecule: ribosomal RNA, 461 nt
Filed under: uncultured bacterium
Lineage: Bacteria
Description: bacterial SSU rRNA
Rfam family: Bacterial small subunit ribosomal RNA
Source: RNAcentral